GAUGAACGCUAGCGGGAGGCCUAACACAUGCAAGCCGAGCGGUAUGGGUAGCUUGCUACCCAGAGAGCGGCGUACGGGGGCGUAACACGUGUGCAACCUGCCCCUAUCCGGGGGAUAGCCCUCCGAAAGGAGGAUUAAUACCCCAUAAUAUACCUGGUGGCAUCACUAGAUAUCGAAAACCCCGGGGGAUAGGGAUGGUCACGCGCAAGAUUAGAUAGUUGGCGGGGUAACGGCCCACCAAGCCGAUGAUCUUUAGGGGUCCUGAGGGGGAGAGCCCCCACACUGGUACUGAGACACGGACCAGACUCCUACGGGACGCAGCAGUGAGGAAUAUUGGACACUGGGUGGAAGCCUGAUCCAGCCGUCCCGCGUGAGGGACGCCGGCCCUAUGGGUUGUAAACCUCUUUUGUACGAAGAUAGACCUAUCUACGUGUAGAUAGCUGAAGGUACCGUACGAAUAAGCACCGGCUAACUCCGUG
RNAcentral lists this ribosomal RNA (479 nucleotides) under uncultured bacterium. RNAcentral describes it as "partial 16S ribosomal RNA". It matches the Rfam family "Bacterial small subunit ribosomal RNA", at positions 28 to 507 of the family's 1533-position model. The record is from RNAcentral.